CCUACCUAUAAGACUGGGAUAACUUCGGGAAACCGGAGCUAAUACCGGAUAAUAUAUUGAACCGCAUGGUUCAAUAGUGAAAGACGGUUUUGCUGUCACUUAUAGAUGGAUCCGCGCCGCAUUAGCUAGUUGGUAAACGGCUUACCAAGGCAACGAUGCGUAGCCGACCUGAGAGGGUGAUCGGCCACACUGGAACUGAGACACGGUCCAGACUCCUACGGGAGGCAGCAGUAGGGAAUCUUCCGCAAUGGGCGAAAGCCUGACGGAGCAACCGUGAGUGAUGAAGGUCUUCGGAUCGUAAAACUCUGUUAUUAGGGAAGAACAAAUGUGUAAGUAACUAUGCACGUCUUGACGGUACCUAAUCAGAAAGCCACGGCUAACUACGUGCCAGCAGCCGCGGUAAUACGUGGCAAGCGUUAUCCGGAAUUAUUGGGCGUAAAGCGCGCGUAGGCGGUUUUUUAAGUCUGAUGUGAAAGCCCACGGCUCAACCGUGGAGGGUCAUUGGAAACUGGAAAACUUGAGUGCAGAAGAGGAAAGUGGAAUUCUGUGUAGCGGUGAAAUGCGCAGAGAUAUGGAGGAACACCAGUGGCGAAGGCGACUUUCUGGUCUGUAACGACGCUGAUGUGCGAAAGCGUGGGGAUCAAACAGGAUUAGAUACCCUGGUAGUCCACGCCGUAAACGAUAGUGCUAAGUGUUAGGGGGUUUCCGCCCCUUAGUGCUGCAGCUAACGCAUUAAGCACUCCGCCUGGGGAGUACGACCGCAAGGUUGAAACUCAAAGGAAUUGACGGGGACCCGCACAAGCGGUGGAGCAUGUGGUUUAUCGAA
Molecule: ribosomal RNA, 826 nt
Filed under: Staphylococcus epidermidis
Lineage: Bacteria; Bacillati; Bacillota; Bacilli; Caryophanales; Staphylococcaceae
Description: bacterial SSU rRNA
Rfam family: Bacterial small subunit ribosomal RNA
Source: RNAcentral